Pelobates cultripes (western spadefoot toad) is the source of this 1085-nucleotide non-coding RNA. Lineage: Eukaryota; Metazoa; Chordata; Amphibia; Anura; Pelobatidae. The record is from the annotation of a GenBank genome assembly.
CUUUGAAAGUGUUGGAAAUGGGCACUUUGCAAAGUGCAACUUUGUGGGAAGGAAGUUAGCAGGGGGAGAGUGUUGGGUCAUCUCACCAGUGCCGGGAUGAACCAUCACCUUCACAGCCAUCACAAGGCUGUGUUAUUGAGGGAAGAGGCAUAAAGUACUAGGGCAGGCAGCAUACCUGCUGCUACUAUUACAAUGUCCAGUACCAUGGCAGCUAGGAGUGACAGGGGAGGUGUUGCAGAGCCAAGAGCUACUGGUGCUGCCAGCCAACAACAAAGGCUGGUUGGAGCAUCACAAUGCGUCCAGCCCACCCUGGAACAAUUUGGGGGAUUCCACUCCAGGGCUAUGUCUAAACAGCAGUCCAAUAAAAUUACGCAACUUAUUUGCCAGUUAAUUGCUGUUGGGGGGGCUUCCUUUUCAAUGAUAGAAGGGGAGCCUUUCAAACAGUUGAUGGAGGCUGUGUCUCAGGAAGCUGCUGCUGCAACUUCAACAGCAGCAGCAAUGUCUAGCAGAAAGGGAGGAAGUGUAUCUGUAGAUUAGCUGGGCUGUAGAUCUUUCCUUCUCCAUGCUGAAGUGAUGGAUGAAAAACACACUUCAGAUAGCAUUCUGCAGACAGUAAGGAGGAUGGUGUCUCUUUGGGUUGGAGCGGAGGCAGGCACCAAUGUAGAAGUGGGGUUUGUGGUUACUGAUGGAGCUUCAAAUAUAGUGAAAGCUCUGCAUGAUGGUAACAUUGUUGGUGUGCGCUGUGCAGCGCACAUUAUCCAUCUAGUGGUCAAGUCGGCAAUCCCAGAAGGUAAUAACAGAGUUUCCUGUGUGAUUGAAAGGUGCAGGAGGAUUGCUGGGCACUUCUACCGCAGUGUGAAGGCUAUCCAACUGUUGAGGCAGGAACAAGAGAAGGCAGGUCUUCCCACACACUGUCUAUGACAAGAUGUCAGUACACGGUGGAACGCUACUGUGGAUAUGCUGGAGAGGAUUUUAGAGCAGCAGAGGGCAAUCCAUAGUCUGGAAUCAGACCACUACAUCGGUAUUGGUUCUCCACUAGGUAGAGACGAUUGGACAGUGAUCACUCAGCUAGUGGCAGUCCUGAA